This 22-nucleotide ribosomal RNA is filed under the name Umbilicaria deusta. RNAcentral describes it as "partial 28S ribosomal RNA". Lineage: Eukaryota; Fungi; Ascomycota; Lecanoromycetes; Umbilicariales; Umbilicariaceae. The record is from RNAcentral.
UGACCUCGGAUCAGGUAGGAUA